GUAGGGAAUAUUGGGCAAUGGAUGCAAGUCUGACCCAGCCAUCCCGCGUGCCGGAAGAAGGCCCUCAGGGUUGUAAACGGCUUUUGACGGUGAAGAAUCGACAGGAUGCGUCCUGUUUUGACGGUAGCCGUUGAAUAAGCACCGGCUAACUCCGUGCCAGCAGCCGCGGUAAUACGGAGGGUGCGAGCGUUGUCCGGAUUUAUUGGGUUUAAAGGGUGCGUAGGCUGGAAGGUCAGUCAGCGGUGAAAAGCUGUCGCUUAACGAUAGUCUUGCCGCAGAUACUUCCUUUCGUGGAUGAGGAGGAGGCCACUGGAACGGAUGGUGUAGCGGUGAAAUGCAUAGAUAUCAUCUAGAACACCGAUUGCGAAGGCAGGUGGCUGUACCUUAAUCGACGCUGAUGCACGAAAGCAUGGGGAGCAAACAGGAUUAGAAACCCGUGUAGUCC
Molecule: ribosomal RNA, 445 nt
Filed under: uncultured bacterium
Lineage: Bacteria
Description: partial 16S ribosomal RNA
Rfam family: Bacterial small subunit ribosomal RNA
Source: RNAcentral